GAUGAACGCUGGCGGCGUGCUUAACACAUGCAAGUCGAACGAUGAAGCCCAGCUUGCUGGGUGGAUUAGUGGCGAACGGGUGAGUAACACGUGAGUAACCUGCCCUUAACUCUGGGAUAAGCCUGGGAAACUGGGUCUAAUACCGGAUAGGAGCGCCUACCGCAUGGUGGGUGUUGGAAAGAUUUAUCGGUUUUGGAUGGACUCGCGGCCUAUCAGCUUGUUGGUGAGGUAAUGGCUCACCAAGGCGACGACGGGUAGCCGGCCUGAGAGGGUGACCGGCCACACUGGGACUGAGACACGGCCCAGACUCCUACGGAAGGCAGCAGUGGGGAAUAUUGCACAAUGGGCGAAAGCCUGAUGCAGCGACGCCGCGUGAGGGAUGACGGCCUUCGGGUUGUAAACCUCUUUCAGUAGGGAAGAAGCGAAAGUGACGGUACCUGCAGAAGAAGCACCGGCUAACUACGUG
RNAcentral lists this ribosomal RNA (466 nucleotides) under uncultured bacterium. RNAcentral's name for it is "partial 16S ribosomal RNA". It matches the Rfam family "Bacterial small subunit ribosomal RNA", at positions 28 to 507 of the family's 1533-position model. The record is from RNAcentral.